RNAcentral lists this long non-coding RNA (263 nucleotides) under Mytilus galloprovincialis (Mediterranean mussel). The record is from RNAcentral. Lineage: Eukaryota; Metazoa; Mollusca; Bivalvia; Mytilida; Mytilidae.
CCCCUAAGGAGUUAUUGCCCUUCAUAGUCAAUUUUUAACAAUUUUCUUAAAAUUUGAAGAUUUUCAAUAACAUUUUCCACAGAAAGUACUUUAUAGAUAGAGAUAAUUGUAAGCAGCAAGAAUGUUUAGUAAAGUAAGAUCUACAAACACAUCACCAUCACCAAAACACAAUUUUGUCAUGAAUCCAUCUGUGUCCAUUGUUUAAUAUUCACAUAGACCAAGGUGAGCGACACAGGCUCUUUAGAGCCUCUAGUUUUACAAAG